This 355-nucleotide unclassified non-coding RNA is filed under the name soil metagenome. RNAcentral describes it as "partial contains 5.8S ribosomal RNA, internal transcribed spacer 2, and large subunit ribosomal RNA". The stretch from base 1 to 120 matches the Rfam family "5.8S ribosomal RNA", at positions 35 to 154 of the family's 154-position model. The record is from RNAcentral.
GAUGAAGAACGUAGCGAAAUGCGAUAAGUAGUGUGAAUUGCAGAAUUCAGUGAAUCAUCGAAUCUUUGAACGCACAUUGCGCCUUCUAGUAUUCUGGGAGGCAUGCCUGUUUGAGCGUCAUUAAACCUCUCUCAAGUAUGAUUACUUGGAUGUGAAGGAAGAGUACCUUAAACUUAAGGAGUGUUCUCCUUUGAAAUUGAUUAGCAGAUGGUAAUGUUAUUAAAUCCCUGAUGUUGUAAGAAAUAACAGUGGUUUUGUAGACUACUAUCUAGCUUUAAAUUAUAAUUUUUAUUAUGGUUGACCUCAAAUCAGGUAAGGAUACCCGCUGAACUUAAGCAUAUCAAUAAGCGGAGGA